RNAcentral lists this transfer RNA (78 nucleotides) under Candidatus Methanofastidiosia archaeon. RNAcentral describes it as "tRNA-Pro". Lineage: Archaea; Methanobacteriati; Methanobacteriota; Candidatus Methanofastidiosia. The record is from RNAcentral.
GGGACCGUAGGGUAGCUUGGACCAUCCUCUCACCUUGGGGUGGUGGACACCCGAGUUCAAAUCUCGGCGGUCCCACCA